Molecule: ribosomal RNA, 270 nt
Filed under: Mesalina bahaeldini
Lineage: Eukaryota; Metazoa; Chordata; Lepidosauria; Squamata; Lacertidae
Description: partial 12S ribosomal RNA
Source: RNAcentral
UCCUAUAAUCGAUACCCCCCGUUCCACCCAACCCUUACUAGCAAAAUCAGCCUAUAUACCGCCGUCGACAGUCUACCCCAUGAGGGUUCAACAGUAGAUAAAAUAGUUAACAACUAACACGUCAGGUCAAGGUGUAGCAAAUGUGAGGGAAGAGAUUGGCUACAUUUUUUAUUUUAAAAAACACGAAAUGCAUCAUGAAACACUGCAUGAAGGCGAAUUUAGUAGUAAAAUAAACAAGAGUGUUUAUUUUAACACCGCUCUGGGACGCGU